UACGGGGGGAGCAAGCGUUGUUCGGAUUUACUGGGCGUAAAGGGCGCGUAGGCGGCCAGCACAAGUCAGUUGUGAAAUCUCCGAGCUUAACUCGGAAAGGUCAACUGAUACUGUGCGGCUAGAGUGCGGAAGGGGCAACUGGAAUUCUUGGUGUAGCGGUGAAAUGCGUAGAUAUCAGGAGGAACACCAAUAGCGAAGGCAGCUCGCUGGGACGGUACUGACGCUAAGGCGCGAAAGCGUGGGGAGCGAACAGG
RNAcentral lists this ribosomal RNA (254 nucleotides) under uncultured bacterium. Its description in RNAcentral is "partial 16S ribosomal RNA". It matches the Rfam family "Bacterial small subunit ribosomal RNA", at positions 524 to 776 of the family's 1533-position model. The record is from RNAcentral.